This is an RNA transcript of Ananas comosus (pineapple), 763 nucleotides long. RefSeq lists it as uncharacterized. The transcript has 3 exons. NCBI's taxonomy places the organism in Eukaryota, Viridiplantae, Streptophyta, Magnoliopsida, Poales, Bromeliaceae. The record is from RefSeq and is a predicted model, not a curated record.
UUACCCCCCCACCUUCGAGUCGAGUGGAACAUUACCGACCACGCGAGGGUUCUUCUUCUUCUUCCUGCUCCUUGAACCCGUCGCGAUCGCGCGAAGCUCCGAUCGAGGCGGCGAUGCGGCGCCCCGGGGCCGGCCGUGGCGGCGGCGGCGGCGGCGGGGAGGUGCGGCGGGGAUCGGCGGUGACGAGGGCGGUGGACGCGGUGUUCGCCUUCGUCCGCAUGGCGGAGUUCGAGAUCCUCUUCUUCCUCUUCCUCGUCGUCGCCUUCCUCUUGUUCAAAGACCUGACGUCAAGGCCCGAGUACAAUCAGAUCUUCGUGAAGAAGCCAGGUGGCAAUGAUUUCUGGUCUUGAUAGGGCUGAGAAGUUGCUGCUUCUUCAGGGAUGGAUAGUAGUAGAACAAGGCCGGCAGGAAGUGGCUGGACGACGGCGGCGGCGGCAUCAGGGGAUGGAGAUGAAGCCCGCAGCAGCAGCGGCUUUGCUCGGCUUCGGAACAAUCUUGGGAGGCUUACCAGUCCAAAGAGCCUGUGCAUCCCCUCCCUCCCCCUGUUGUUGCUAUGGCAUCAAAUGCAACUUACCUAACAGUCUCCUUUUGGCUCCUGCUCCUUCACACCCAAAACUUGUGGAUGCUAUAAAUGUGUUUCCUGAAUUUUUUGCUUGUCUCAUUUCUAUUCAAGCCCUAGUUUGGGAAUGCGGCGGCUAAACUUAUGCUAUUUAAUCUUAAGAAUUUUGGAUUUUCAGAUAUCGAUCAUCAAAUUUUCAGUCAA